This is a long non-coding RNA of Haplochromis burtoni (Burton's mouthbrooder), 2781 nucleotides long. RefSeq lists it as uncharacterized. The record is from RefSeq and is a predicted model, not a curated record. NCBI's taxonomy places the organism in Eukaryota, Metazoa, Chordata, Actinopteri, Cichliformes, Cichlidae. The transcript has 2 exons.
GUACUGUUUGUUGCCUCUGUCAGAGCCAAUUCAAGGACAUAUUGCAGUCAUAUGCACUGCAGAUAUUUCAGUUAAAAAAAAAAAAAAACCCGUUUUCCUGCAAUACAGCUGUACCUGCCGAGUGAAAGGACACACCACAAGAAUCUGGCGUUUCUGCUCGUUACAGAGCAUUCAACAGCUUACUGCACCAAACUGAAACCCUGCAGCCUGCCUCUCCUGUGCUUUCUUGUUGGACCGGAGCCCAUGGCCAGGCAAGCACACAUACUGUAUGUGAGCGCAAACUCACACACACAUGGGCAUGCGGAGAUCCUGGCCCACAACAAUCAGCCGCAGCAUGAACACCCACGCACAAACACACAUUUAAAUAACAUGGUAACACAUUCGACCAGGCACAGAUGACUGUCACAACCUCUCAGCAACUCACAUCACAACACUGCAAGAACAGUUAAAGCCUCGCUUCAGGGUGUUGCUCGCUGUGGCGACGGCAACAGAUGGAACUGCAGCAGCAGCAGCAGGGCAGAGCCUGAGGGGACAGCUACAGCUUCACUGUUGCGCACCACUGUUCCUGGCCUUUCUCGCUGAGCCUAGGCCCAGUCACGGCAUCUCCAGCUUCUGUUUCCAGCCAGACCACGGCUUCAUGGCUCGCUCCUCUCCAAUCAUGACACCAAGCAUGGUGGGAUAUCUGCCAGCUAAAUAAAUUUUCCUCUGCUCUCAGUAACUCUCAAAUAAUAAUAUCCCUUAAGCAUUAAUUACCCUUUGGGAAAUUGAUCAAAAUCAUGUUAGAUUAAACAUUUUACAAAAAGGGAGGUAGCACAGAGGAGACACACAUGACCUUGAACCACCAUUCUACACAGUUUCACAGACAACAAAGGCACCUCUAAUCAUGACCGUAGAAAAUUAUGUACAUACAGAUUCAUGUUCAUACUCAGUGCUGCAGGGGCUGGCUUUUUGCUGGGUAUAUGCCUAAUGCUGUCGGCAUGAAGUCUCUGUGAGAAACUCUGGAGCUUUGCCAGACAGCUGCAUAAGGAAAGGGUGAUGCUCUUGUGAUCAUGCCAGGUGCCCUCCUUACUACCAGCUGGGCAGUUUAAGAAAUGUUAACUCACAUAGUUCAGCUACAACAGAAGAAAGAAAAAAUAAAAACAGCACAACAAAUUUUCAUUUCACAAAAAUAAACUGCAUCAUUUAUCUCUAUCUUGUUUUUUCUGCUGGAAUGUGUCACAGUUUCUUGGUGUAUGGAAAAACAACCAUUUAACUGGCAAAUUUAAAAGGACAUUGUGGUAUUCUUUUAAUGAAUAACUCUGUAAGGUGAAUAAAGCCCGGUCCAUUUCAGAUACUAGGAAAUUUAACACCUGGGACAAGAGCUAUUUUAAGAGAAGCCUGUAGUUCACUUGUUGUUAUUCACACAUUUAGCAUGGGGUCAGACAAACAAGCUAAUUAUGAAUCUUAUCUUAAAAUAAUAAUAAUCUGCCUCUGUUUUUGCUAGCAUUUCUAGCUGAACCAUGCCGAGUGUAUUUACAUGCUGAAAUUACUUUAAAAUCUAGUGGGGUGUCAAUUAACUACCACCAUAUAUAGAGUUUACUUCAGCAAUCUAUCCAAAAACACCUGGCAACUGCUUUUUUCUUUUUUUUAAAAAAAACAAACAAACAUCCAUCUGCAGAUGACAACCAUGUUGUUUUUAUUUUGAAAGUUCAGUUACUGGGGACUAACCAUCCUCACUAAUGUUUUAUUUCUACUAGCUAGCUCCAUAGACAGUAUAAAAGACACCCGUAGCACCUGUGUGUAAGUAAAGCCAAUAUGUAAAGCUUAAACCCGCAUUCAGUUGUCAAUGGGAAAAUGUCCCUCGCCUCUGAGCUACGUAAACACUUUCCCGAUGAGUUAAUGGGCUCAGUCGUUCAUUUUGGUUCACAGUUUAUAAAACAUUACAUCCAUUUUGUAAAUACUGGCCAUCCGUUUCAGAAAAGAGGAUUAUGUGGGUUACGGUCACUGACCAACAACAUAUGACUGACAAGUCUUUAACCCAUCACUGUGAAGUUUCACAGAGAAAAACUCAAAUUAAACCCGACUCCUAUCAGAUUAUCUUUCAAAAGAUCAAGGUAGUGACAACGGAAAUGCUCAGGUUUAAAAUGGGACUUGAGAAACCAGUAGGUGAUAUCAUAGUAGCUACUUUCAUGUUGUGCCUGGCUGACUGAAAAGUUGUUGUAUUAAUGGAGCUCAAUACCAUUUUGCUUCUUCAACCAUCUUGGACACUGAAGGAUUGAUACUUCAAUCAGAGGUGUUCUAGUGCUGUCUAAAUCAGUUUGUUUUUAUUUUACUGUGAAACUUUGCUUUUUUUUUUCAUUGAGUUAAAAACAUUUUUUUUUUCAAUUUCAAGAUAGUUGUUAUUGUUUUACUAGUAAGGUGUCACCCUUUGUGACAAUUAAAGAGCAAAUACACCAAAAUUAUUAUUAUUAUUUUAUUUUUUUUUAAAAAAGCUCCUCGCUAAGCCCCUAACCUAAAGGUGCAAGAAACCAAGCAGCAACAAAAUGGACCCCUACAAAAGUAGACACUGAAACAGAAUUUAAUGAACUACAGCUACACAACUUUAAUAUUUGUGGAGAAAAUGCAGACGUUCAAGUACAAAUGGUUCUGAGUGGGGCUUCCAAGAUGAAAUUUUAAAAAAUAGCACCACAGCUGAAAGUGAUGCAGAGGCACAUAAGUAGAUGACCCUGAAUAGAGAUUAACCCAAUUUAAAUCAGGUUUUUGAUUGCUGUUUAAAAAAAAAAAAAAAACAAACAUUCAGUC